This 514-nucleotide ribosomal RNA is filed under the name uncultured bacterium. RNAcentral's name for it is "bacterial SSU rRNA". It matches the Rfam family "Bacterial small subunit ribosomal RNA", at positions 19 to 518 of the family's 1533-position model. The record is from RNAcentral.
AUGGCUCAGGAUGAACGCUGGCGGCGUGCCUAACACAUGCAAGUCGAACGGAGUUAUUCGCUGCGGAGGUUCGACCGAAGCUUGAAUAAACUUAGUGGCGGACGGGUGAGUAACGCGUGGGCAACCUGCCUCGUACUGGGGGAUAACAGUUGGAAACGACUGUUAAUACCGCAUAAGCGCACGGUAUCGCAUGAUACAGUGUGAAAAACUCCGGUGGUACGAGGUGGGCCCGCGUCAGAUUAGCCAGUUGGCGGGGUAACGGCCCACCAAAGCGACGAUCUGUAGCCGGACUGAGAGGUCGGACGGCCACAUUGGGACUGAGACACGGCCCAAACUCCUACGGGAGGCAGCAGUGGGGGAUAUUGCACAAUGGGCGAAAGCCUGAUGCAGCGACGCCCGCGUGAGUGAAGAAGUAUUUCGGUAUGUAAAGCUCUAUCAGCAGGGAAGAAAGGCCCUUCGGGGAGAUGACGGUACCUGACUAAGAAGCCCCGGCUAACUACGUGCCAGCCGCGGC